This 499-nucleotide ribosomal RNA is filed under the name uncultured bacterium. RNAcentral describes it as "partial 16S ribosomal RNA". It matches the Rfam family "Bacterial small subunit ribosomal RNA", at positions 28 to 507 of the family's 1533-position model. The record is from RNAcentral.
GACGAACGCUGGCGGCGUGCCUAAUACAUGCAAGUCGAGCGAAGUUUUUCUGGUGCUUGCACUAGAAAAACUUAGCGGCGAACGGGUGAGUAACACGUAAAGAACCUGCCUCAUAGACUGGGACAACUAUUGGAAACGAUAGCUAAUACCGGAUAACAGUAUUUCUCGCAUGAGAGAUAUUUAAAAGUUGGUUAUGCUAACACUAUGAGAUGGCUUUGCGGUGCAUUAGCUAGUUGGUGGGGUAAAGGCCCACCAAGGCGACGAUGCAUAGCCGACCUGAGAGGGUGAUCGGCUACACUGGGACUGAGACACGGCCCAGACUCCUACGGGAGGCAGCAGUAGGGAAUCUUCCGCAAUGGGCGAAAGCCUGACGGAGCAACGCCGCGUGAGUGAAGAAGGAUUUCGGUUCGUAAAGCUCUGUUGUUAGGGAAGAAUGGAUAUGUAGUAACUAUACAUGUAAGAGACGGUACCUAACCAGAAAGCCACGGCUAACUACGUG